UUAAUAAAAGUUCAUAUUGGAGCGAUUAGUUUGUAAAACAUUUUUGUGGUUGUUUUUUGCAAAGUAUGUAUUACACUAACCAUAUUUUUUAUAUAUUUUUCAUUUUGAAUCUUUAACAGCAGGAAUUACAUCCUCUGGCCUCACUGCAGGAAGCUGCCGAGCUGUCUUCCUGGGCAUCUGAGAACGUGUCUGCGUGUGUGGAAGAAGAUUCAGGCCAUUUUUGGAGCUGAUGAUCCAGUUGUCAGUGGGAAUGAUUAGGAUGGGCCUGGUGGUGAGAAACAUACCUUCACUCCUUCCUGCAGCAUCUUCUGUUCCUCAGAGCUCCUGGAGAUGCUGAGAGCAAGCCACAUUUUGAGCCAGAAAUGGAGCCAGCAUCUGGAAACGUCAUCCUUCACAGAAAGCAUAUGCAGAGAUUGGACAUGACAUAAGAAAACAAGAUACCUUUUCAAUAUUUUCCAGGAUGCAGAGUGUGUGAGCAGGACUGAGCUGGGUGACAGUUUUACCAUCAUACAAACUGUUGAUUGCAUGGAGCCGAUUCACGUCACACAAGACACUGUUAACAUCACGCUGGACGACGAGACAAAAUUCUUGCAGAGUUUUUCCUAUCUGAAUGAUCUCAGGCCUGAUUGUUGUGAAGCUUACCACCAUUGUUUUACAUUUAAUAACUCUUUGGUCUUUUUUCAUAGUGCUUCGAGCUGUACUAUUCUAAGUGCCUAUACAGAUCCGUGGACAAUGUAUUUCCUACAUAAAGAAAUUUAAAAAAAAAAACUUUAGGUCAUCGUUCUCAUUUUGUAUAUUGACACAUGUCGUAAAGUUGCUCCUUGUUUGAUCUCUGCCACCUUAGGGUGCCUAAUAUAACAGUGUCAAAAUGUUUUCUAACUGUUCAAAGACACACUAACUUUAUUAACUUGAAUGUAUAUUUAAAAUUUUUAUACUGGAUUAAAAUAUAAAAUUACAAUUAAAAAGAAUCCUUUGUUUAACCAUGUAUUUGCUAUUUCUGCUUUAGUUUUGUAUAAUUCUCCAUGUUUUGUAAUAUAACCUUUGAUUAAUCUGGUUAAUAAAAUGCAAUUUCUCUUAACCAAAUAAUUUCAUUUUUUCUGAUAUUAGUAGCCUACCAUUGCAAUUAUCCUCUGCUUUAAAAUAGAUGUAUUUUGAGCCUUGACCUCUAACCAACUAAAUCUCUCUUUCACA
Molecule: long non-coding RNA, 1191 nt
Organism: Cyprinus carpio carpio
Lineage: Eukaryota; Metazoa; Chordata; Actinopteri; Cypriniformes; Cyprinidae
Source: Ensembl